Molecule: ribosomal RNA, 253 nt
Filed under: uncultured bacterium
Lineage: Bacteria
Description: partial 16S ribosomal RNA
Rfam family: Bacterial small subunit ribosomal RNA
Source: RNAcentral
UACGAAGGGGGCUAGCGUUGCUCGGAAUCACUGGGCGUAAAGGGUGCGUAGGCGGGUCUUUAAGUCAGGGGUGAAAUCCUGGAGCUCAACUCCAGAACUGCCUUUGAUACUGAAGAUCUUGAGUUCGGGAGAGGUGAGUGGAAUUCCAGGUGUAGCGGUGAAAUGCGUAGAUAUCUGGAGGAACACCGGUGGCGAAGGCGGCAUCCUGGACCGACACUGACGCUGAGAAGCGAAAGCGUGGGGAGCGAACAGG